ACGGAAGGCAGCAGUGGGGAGUAUUGCACAAUGGGCGAAAGCCUGAUGCAGCAACGCCGCGUGAGUGAAGAAGUAUUUCGGUAUGUAAAGCUCUAUCGAUGGGGAAUAAAAUGAAGGUACCCAAGUAAGAAGCCCCGGCUAACUACGUGCCAGCAGCCGCGGUAAUACGUAGGGGGCAAGCGUUAUCCGGAUUUACUGGGUGUAAAGGGAGCGUAGACGGUUUGGCAAGUCUGAAGUGAAAUGCGGGGGCUCAACUCCUGAACUGCUUUGGAAACUGUCGAACUAGAGUGCAGGAGAGGUAAGUGGAAUUCCUAGUGUAGCGGUGAAAUGCGUAGAUAUUAGGAGGAACACCAGUGGCGAAGGCGGCUUACUGGACUGUAACUGACGUUGAGGCUCGAAAGCGUGGGGAGCAAACAGGAUUAGAUACCCUGGUA
This 434-nucleotide ribosomal RNA is filed under the name uncultured Clostridium sp. Its description in RNAcentral is "partial 16S ribosomal RNA". It matches the Rfam family "Bacterial small subunit ribosomal RNA", at positions 341 to 792 of the family's 1533-position model. The record is from RNAcentral. Lineage: Bacteria; Bacillati; Bacillota; Clostridia; Eubacteriales; Clostridiaceae.